GAUGAACGCUGACAGAAUGCUUAACACAUGCAAGUCGAUGGGGAAGUGGUGCUUGCACCAUGGCAACCAUGGCGGACGGGUGAGUAACGCGUAAGGGACUUACCUGCAGGACUGGGAUAACAGGGGGAAACUCCUGACAAGACCGGAUAAUGUCAUGGAGCUGCAUGGCUUUAUGAUGAAAGGAGACGCCUGCGGAGAGCCUUGCGUCCUAUUAGCUAGUUGGUGAGGUAAUGGCUCACCAAGGCGAAGAUCGGUAGCCGGCCUGAGAGGGUGGACGGCCACAAGGGGACUGAGAUACGGCCCUUACUCCUACGGGAGGCAGCAGUGGGGAAUAUUGGACAAUGGGGGCAACCCUGAUCCAGCAAUUCUGUGUGCACGAAGAAGGUUUUCGGAUUGUAAAGUGCUUUCAGCAGGGAAGAAGUAAGUGACGGUACCUGCAGAAGAAGCGACGGCUAAAUACGUG
This 463-nucleotide ribosomal RNA is filed under the name uncultured bacterium. Its description in RNAcentral is "partial 16S ribosomal RNA". It matches the Rfam family "Bacterial small subunit ribosomal RNA", at positions 28 to 507 of the family's 1533-position model. The record is from RNAcentral.